RNAcentral lists this ribosomal RNA (253 nucleotides) under uncultured bacterium. RNAcentral's name for it is "partial 16S ribosomal RNA". It matches the Rfam family "Bacterial small subunit ribosomal RNA", at positions 524 to 776 of the family's 1533-position model. The record is from RNAcentral.
UACAGGGGGGGCAAGCGUUGUUCGGAAUUACUGGGCGUAAAGGGCCAGUAGGCGGCCAACUAAGUCACACGUGAAAUCCCCAGGCUUAACCUGGGAACUGCGUGUGAUACUGGAUGGCUUGAAUUCGGGAGAGGGAUGCAGAAUUCCAGGUGUAGCGGUGAAAUGCGCAGAUAUCAGGAGGAACACCGGUGGCGAAGGCGGGUCUCUGGACAGUUCCUGACACUGAGACACGAAGGCCAGGGGAGCAAACGGG